CGUAGGCGGCUUUCUAAGUUGGAUGUGAAAACUCUGGGCUCAACCCAGAGCCUGCAUCCAAAACUGGAGAGCUAGGGUUCUGGAGGGGAAAGCGGAAUUCCUGGUGUAGCGGUGAAAUGCGUAGAUAUCAGGAGGAACACCGGUGGCGAAGGCGGCUUUCUGGACAGAUACCGACGCUGAGGCACGAAAGCUAGGAGAGCAAACG
Molecule: ribosomal RNA, 205 nt
Filed under: uncultured bacterium
Lineage: Bacteria
Description: partial 16S ribosomal RNA
Rfam family: Bacterial small subunit ribosomal RNA
Source: RNAcentral